RNAcentral lists this ribosomal RNA (434 nucleotides) under uncultured Sporobacter sp. RNAcentral's name for it is "bacterial SSU rRNA". It matches the Rfam family "Bacterial small subunit ribosomal RNA", at positions 341 to 792 of the family's 1533-position model. The record is from RNAcentral. Lineage: Bacteria; Bacillati; Bacillota; Clostridia; Eubacteriales; Oscillospiraceae.
ACGGGAGGCAGCAGUGGGGAAUAUUGGGCAAUGGGCGAAAGCCUGACCCAGCAACGCCGCGUGAAGGAAGAAGGCCUUCGGGUUGUAAACUUCUUUUAUGUGGGAAGAUAAUGACGGUACCACAUGAAUAAGCCACGGCUAACUACGUGCCAGCAGCCGCGGUAAUACGUAGGUGGCGAGCGUUGUCCGGAUUUACUGGGUGUAAAGGGCGCGUAGGCGGGAUGGCAAGUCAGAUGUGAAAUCCAGGGGCUCAACCCUUGAACUGCAUUUGAAACUGUCGUUCUUGAGUAUCGGAGAGGCAAGCGGAAUUCCUAGUGUAGCGGUGAAAUGCGUAGAUAUUAGGAGGAACACCAGUGGCGAAGGCGGCUUGCUGGACGACAACUGACGCUGAGGCGCGAAAGCGUGGGGAGCAAACAGGAUUAGAUACCCUGGUA